GACGAACGCUGGCGGCGUGCUUAACACAUGCAAGUCGAACGGAAAGGCCCUGCUUUUGUGGGGUGCUCGAGUGGCGAACGGGUGAGUAACACGUGAGUAACCUGCCCUUGACUUUGGGAUAACUUCAGGAAACUGGGGCUAAUACCGGAUAGGAGCUCCUGCUGCAUGGUGGGGGUUGGAAAGUUUCGGCGGUUGGGGAUGGACUCGCGGCUUAUCAGCUUGUUGGUGGGGUAGUGGCUUACCAAGGCUUUGACGGGUAGCCGGCCUGAGAGGGUGACCGGCGACAUUGGGACUGAGAUACGGCCCAGACUCCUACGGGAGGCAGCAGGGGGGAAUAUUGCACAAUGGGCGGAAGCCUGAUGCAGCAACGCCGCGUGCGGGAUGACGGCCUUCGGGUGGUAAACCGCUUUCGCCGGUGACGAAGCGUGAGUGACGGUAAUGGGUAAAGAAGCACCGGCUAACUACGUG
RNAcentral lists this ribosomal RNA (468 nucleotides) under uncultured bacterium. RNAcentral's name for it is "partial 16S ribosomal RNA". It matches the Rfam family "Bacterial small subunit ribosomal RNA", at positions 28 to 507 of the family's 1533-position model. The record is from RNAcentral.